This 253-nucleotide ribosomal RNA is filed under the name uncultured bacterium. RNAcentral describes it as "partial 16S ribosomal RNA". It matches the Rfam family "Bacterial small subunit ribosomal RNA", at positions 524 to 776 of the family's 1533-position model. RNAcentral also lists the same sequence under 1 other name. The record is from RNAcentral.
UACGUAGGAGGCGAGCGUUACCCGGAUUUAUUGGGCGUAAAGCGCGCGCAGGCGGCCUGGUGCGUCCCGCGUGAAAUCUCCCGGCUCAACCGGGAGGGGUCGCGGGAAACGAUCAGGCUGGAGCAAGGGAGGGGCCUGUGGAAUUCCCGGUGUAGUGGUGGAAUGCGUAGAGAUCGGGAGGAACACCAGUGGCGAAGGCGACAGGCUGGACCUUGGCUGACGCUCAGGCGCGAAAGCGUGGGGAGCGAUCCGG